Molecule: ribosomal RNA, 253 nt
Filed under: uncultured bacterium
Lineage: Bacteria
Description: partial 16S ribosomal RNA
Rfam family: Bacterial small subunit ribosomal RNA
Source: RNAcentral
UACGAAGGGGGCUAGCGUUAAUCGGAAUUACUGGGCGUAAAGCGUGCGCAGGCGGUUUUGUAAGACAGAGGUGAAAUCCCCGGGCUCAACCUGGGAACUGCCUUUGUGACUGCAAGGCUUGAGUGCGGCAGAGGGGGAUGGAAUUCCGCGUGUAGCAGUGAAAUGCGUAGAUAUGCGGAGGAACACCGAUGGCGAAGGCAAUCCCCUGGGCCUGCACUGACGCUCAUGCACGAAAGCGUGAGGAGCAAACAGG